Molecule: long non-coding RNA, 1033 nt
Filed under: Sorghum bicolor (sorghum)
Lineage: Eukaryota; Viridiplantae; Streptophyta; Magnoliopsida; Poales; Poaceae
Description: long non-coding RNA (SBIC_LNC016280)
Source: RNAcentral
AUAUUUAUAAUAUAUGUACAUAUUUUUAUAUUAUCACUAAUAUAUAUGUGUUUGUGUGUUAAUAUAUCUUAUUAAUAAUCAUCAUUUAUACCUCUCUCUAUCUAAUUAAUUAUAUGAAUCACUAAAUUGUGUGUGUGUUGUAUGUGUGUUGUGUGUGAUGUGUGUGUGUGUGUUUUAAAUUUAUAAUCCAUUUUUCAUUUUUUUGAAAUUUAUAAUUCAUUUUUCAUUUUCAUUUUUCAUUUUUUAUUUUUUCAAAUUUAUAAUUCAUUUUUCAUUUUUUUCUCAUCCCUCUCUCUAUUUAUAUCACUAAUUUAUCCCUAAUCACUAAUUCAUUUUUCAUUUUUUUCAAAUGAUUUUGUUAUCUAUUCUUGUGUGGGUCCCACUCGUCAUCCUCUCCCCCUUUCUCCCCUCUCCUUCAUCUAUCUCUCUCUGUGUGUACGUCGCGCAUGCGAUCUCCGAGGAGAGGAGGGAUGAUGACCGACCGGCAGGUGGCUUGGGAAGACGUCGUGCGGUCCGCAGGGCCACGCGCUCACCACCGGUAGCCGCGAGCCAGGCUGGAGGCGCGCGCGUGUGCGCCCAUGGGCCAGCGCGGGCGGCCGACGACCGGAUCAGGGCGAUCGGCAGAGGGGUGGCAGGGGAUAGCGAGAGGUGCACGAGCGGAGGACAACCUCCAGGUCAGGGAGGCGUAAGCGGACGGACGACGCGCUAGGGAGGCGGCGACGCGGAUGGACGACAUGCUCGGCGCGGCGCAGCGUGACGUCAUCGUAGGCGUGGAGGGACGGUGUGCUCGGCGUGCUCGGCGGCGGCGUGGACGGACGAUGUGCUCGGCGACGCGAAUCGGAUGGCGGGCGGACAGCGUUCUCUCGGACGCACGGCAGAUUAGAGAGGAAUAGACUUUGGGAGGGAAGGAAGAAGAAGGCUGCCAGCUUUAUACACUAGAGGACCUUUAGUCCCGGUCCUCGUUACGGACCAGGACUAAAGCCCUUUUAGGGCUGGCUGGAGCCACCAAGAGGCACUAAAGAUGUUGAUGUUU